AUAAAUAAAAAAUAGCUCUAAAUAAAUAAACAAAAUAAAAAAUAAAAAAAAAAAAUAAAAAAUUAACUUAUAAUAGUAUAAUUAUUAGAAAUUUAAAUUGAAGCUAAAUAAAUAGUACUGUAAAGGAAAUUUGAAAAAUUUAAAUAAAGAAUUAAAUAAAAGAAGACCUUAAAAUUCUUACCUUUUGUAUUAUGGUUUAACAACAAUAAAAGAAUAAAAAUUCAAACCCCGAAACCAAGAGAUCUAAUGAAACCCCAACAUAUGGUUGUAAAGUAUUACUGUUGCAAAAGUAAAUAAAGAGGAAUCAUUAGACAUGAAAAAUGAAACGAGCUUGGUAAUAGCUGGUUUCCUGAAAAAUGAGCUUAAACUCAUGCUUUUAAUUAUGACUUAAAUAAUAUUAUCAUAAAAAUAAAAAGCAAAACCAAAAGGGAUAAACUUUUUGGUUUAAGGAAAAAGCCUACCUUAAUAGUUAAAAUCAAAAAUUAAAAAAAGAAUAAUAAACAUAGUAGGCCUAGAAGCAGCCACCAAAAAGAAAGCGUUAAAGCAUAAUAAAAAUAAAAACAAUAAUUAAUGAAAAACAAAAUUUUAACUUAAAAAAAUAACAGGACAAUAACUUAACUAAGUUAUAAGAUAAUGUUAAAAUUAGUAUUUUUUUGGUUAAAAAAUUUUUAAGCUAUUCUAACAAAUAUAUAAUGGAAGAAAGAAAAUAUUUUUUUCAAGAAAAAAAUUUUAUAAAAUAGUUUUACCAACACCGGAAACCAAAAAAUUAAAAAAACAAGAGGAAGGAACUCGGCAAAUAAAAGCUUCGCCUGUUUACCAAAAACAUUGCUCCUUGAAAAAUACUAAAUAAGGAGUACUGCCUGCCCAGUGACAAAAGUUAAACGGCCGCGGUAUUUUGACCGUGCAAAGGUAGCAUAAUCAUUUGUUCUUUAAUUGAGGACUAGUAUGAAAGGCAACACGAAAGCUUAACUGUCUCCCCCCUGAAAAAAGAAAUUAUUAUCUUCGUGAAGAAACAAAGAUAAAAACGCAAGACGAGAAGACCCUGUCGAGCUUAAGAAAAUUUUUAUAGAAUUAAAACACAGAUAAUUUAUAUACUAAAAACCAAAUAAAAAUAUCUUUGGUUGGGGCAACCACGAAGAAAAAAAAACCUUCGAUUAAAAAAAGAAAUAAACAAAUUUAAAAAUUUUUAAAAUUUUAAAGAUCCAGAAAAUACUGAUCAAAGGAAAAAGUUACCGCAGGAUAACAGCGUUAUUCUCUUUAAGAGUUCAUAUUGACAAGAGAGUUUGCGACCUCGAUGUUGGACCGGGACACCCCAGAGGUGCAACAGCCUCUAAAGGUAGGUCUGUUCGACCUUUAAAGCCCUACGCGAUCUGAGUUCAGACCGACGCAAGUCAGGUCAGUUUCUAUCUACGAAAAAAGUAGUUUUAUUAGUACGAAAGGAAUUUAAAACUAGAGUAAAUUUUUCUAUAAAAACUCUUAAAAAACUACUGAAAACAAAUAAAGAAAAACUU
Molecule: ribosomal RNA, 1511 nt
Filed under: Florometra serratissima (common feather star)
Lineage: Eukaryota; Metazoa; Echinodermata; Crinoidea; Comatulida; Antedonidae
Description: large subunit ribosomal RNA
Rfam family: Archaeal large subunit ribosomal RNA (bases 766-1511)
Source: RNAcentral